This 253-nucleotide ribosomal RNA is filed under the name uncultured bacterium. RNAcentral describes it as "partial 16S ribosomal RNA". It matches the Rfam family "Bacterial small subunit ribosomal RNA", at positions 524 to 776 of the family's 1533-position model. The record is from RNAcentral.
CACGUAGGGUGCAAGCGUUGUCCGGAAUUAUUGGGCGUAAAGAGCUCGUAGGCGGUUUGUCGCGUCUGCUGUGAAAACCCGAGGCUCAACCUCGGGCCUGCGGUGGGUACGGGCAGACUAGAGUGAUGUAGGGGAGACUGGAAUUCCUGGUGUAGCGGUGAAAUGCGUAGAGAUCGGGAGGAACACCAGUGGCGAAGGCGGGUCUCUGGGCCGAUAUUGACGCUGAGGAGCGAAAGCGUGGGGAGCGAACAGG